RNAcentral lists this ribosomal RNA (555 nucleotides) under uncultured bacterium. Its description in RNAcentral is "bacterial SSU rRNA". It matches the Rfam family "Bacterial small subunit ribosomal RNA", at positions 62 to 634 of the family's 1533-position model. The record is from RNAcentral.
UCGAACGCCCUGAUUUUUCGCAAGAUUGAUCAGGGAGUGGCGAACGGCUGAGUAACGCGUAAGUAACCUACCCCUAAGUGGGGGAUAACUUGCCGAAAGGCAGGCUAAUACCGCAUGUGCUGGUAAGCAUUUAGCUUAUCAGCAAAGCUUUUGCGCUUGGGGAGGGGCUUGCGUCUGAUUAGAUAGUUGGUAGGGUAAUGGCCUACCAAGUCGGUGAUCAGUAGCUGGUCUGAGAGGACAACCAGCCAGACGGGGACUGAGAUACGGCCCUGACUCCUACGGGAGGCAGCAGCAAGGAAUUUUGCGCAAUGGGCGAAAGCCUGACGCAGCGACGCCGCGUGGGGGAUGACGGCCUUCGGGUUGUAAACCCCUUUUCUCGAGGAAGAAAUAUGACGGUACUCGAGGAAUAAGUCUUGGCUAACUACGUGCCAGCAGCCGCGGUAAUACGUAGAAGGCGAACGUUAUCCGGAUUUACUGGGCGUAAAGAGGGUGUAGACGGUUCUUUAAGUCAGUUGUGAAAUCUCCCGACUCAAUUGGGAGACUGCAAUUGAUACU